UAUAUACUUUCUCAAAUUUUUUCCUAUUUUUCCAUAUUAAUGUCUUUUAACUAAUUAAAGUUUAAAAACAGAAAGACGUUAUAAUUGUAUCCCUUUAACCGUUUCCUCAAAUUAAGCCCAUAAUAAUUGCAUACGUCGUUUGGCAUUCUGAAUUCAAAAUUAAUGUCUCCUCGGCCGCCUCUGUAAAGCUAUACGCAGAAGUCCCAUCACAUCAUCCUCUUUGCGAGCAAAAGCUCCAUCUCCAGAAAUAGGGCAGAAGUUCACAAUGUUUUGCCAAGUUCUUUCUAUCGGAAGUGUGUCAGUUUUUAUGGAAUAUUUUUUAUAUUCGCACUGAAGCCCAGUUAUAUAUGGACUCAUACAUAAUAAGGCUCCAUUGGUACGGAAGUACUCUACCAAAGAUUUGAACCAAGACCUCUGUUUACAAGGAUAGCAAUCCCGUCCACAACAUCACAUCUUGCUUACAAGUAUCUUUGAGAAGAAAAAGUUAAAUCACGUGAAGCACAAGAUUGUUGAUGCUGAGCACUAGGAAGAGAUAACUUCUUGAUGAUAUAGAUUUUAUACAAAGAGAACACUAAGGUUGAGCAUGCUCAGUUGCCCAUGGAUGAAAUAAGGAUGCUGCUGGAAGUGGUCAAAUAUCAGCAAUAGUAUCGCAAUGCAACAGGAAAGGAGAAAAAGAACGAUGACAAGUUUCAAAAGACUACCAUUAACCCUUUGAAUCUUCACAAGAACAUAGUUGGGAUGGUGAAAAUCAUAAUUCAUAAUCCUCGGGGAAGAAAUUUGCUUCACCUGAGAAAGGGCAAACAAACGGAUUGCAAGCAGACACUUUGAACUCUUUUUUAGGUGAACUCAAUUUUGUUUCUCCUAAAUUAGAUGUUUGCUAUUUUAUUUUUGACAGAGAAAUAAUUUAUCUUAUGGUUACUAGCUUCAAA
Molecule: non-coding RNA, 929 nt
Organism: Solanum lycopersicum (tomato)
Lineage: Eukaryota; Viridiplantae; Streptophyta; Magnoliopsida; Solanales; Solanaceae
Source: RefSeq, a predicted model, not a curated record